This 497-nucleotide ribosomal RNA is filed under the name uncultured bacterium. Its description in RNAcentral is "partial 16S ribosomal RNA". It matches the Rfam family "Bacterial small subunit ribosomal RNA", at positions 28 to 507 of the family's 1533-position model. The record is from RNAcentral.
GACGAACGCUGGCGGCGUGCCUAAUACAUGCAAGUUGAGCGCUGAAGGUUGGUACUUGUACCAACUGGAUGAGCAGCGAACGGGUGAGUAACGCGUGGGGAAUCUGCCUUUGAGCGGGGGACAACAUUUGGAAACGAAUGCUAAUACCGCAUAAAAACUUUAAACACAAGUUUUAAGUUUGAAAGAUGCAAUUGCAUCACUCAAAGAUGAUCCCGCGUUGUAUUAGCUAGUUGGUGAGGUAAAGGCUCACCAAGGCGAUGAUACAUAGCCGACCUGAGAGGGUGAGCGGCCACAUUGGGACUGAGACACGGCCCAAACUCCUACGGGAGGCAGCAGUAGGGAAUCUUCGGCAAUAGACGAAAGUCUGACCGAGCAACGCCGCGUGAGUGAAGAAGGUUUUCGGAUCGUAAAACUCUGUUGGUAGAGAAGAACGUUGGUGAGAGUGGAAAGCUCAUCAAGUGACGGUAACUACCCAGAAAGGGACGGCUAACUACGUG